Molecule: long non-coding RNA, 207 nt
Organism: Poecile atricapillus (Black-capped chickadee)
Lineage: Eukaryota; Metazoa; Chordata; Aves; Passeriformes; Paridae
Exons: 3
Source: RefSeq, a predicted model, not a curated record
GAAGGGUGUAAUGGCGGCGCUGAGGCGGUGUCAGGGGGAGGCGCGGCUCAAGCGCUGUUUGUGGUGUGAAAUCCCAUGAACAAAUCUCGACCAGCCACAGUCAGUCCAGGAAUGAGGCGCUGCUUUUUUAUGGAAAAAAGCUUAAAAAGAACUGAGAGAAGAUAAAUCCUGAUGAGUUAUGGGUUUGGAGCACCUUGAAGAUUCCCA